ACUGGGAACCUCCAUAUACCAAAGGAGUGGCCCUAAAAAACAAAACAAAACCAAAAAAACCACCAAACCCCCAAGAUUCCUGACACGCAAGCCCCACUCCUUUCUGCUUCUCAUCUGCCUUUGCAGCUCUGGCUGCUGGACUGUCCUUCCUGGAAACUGCUGGCAGGCUAGUUCCCUGGCACAUAGUAGGCACGAAGAAAUUGACUGAAUGAAAGGAUGUGUCUUCCGCUGAGCUGUCUGUACACUUUGACAAGUAGUUCUGGAAUGUCAGGGACAAAAGAUACUUGAAGGCUUUCUAGAUGCCAGGUCCUGGUUGGGUGACCACUGUCUUGAUUUGCUGGGGAUUUUCUCAGCACUGGAAGUCUAAGAACCAGGAAACUCCUGGGACAAAGGCAAAUCGGGAGGGCUGGUCAUCAUGCUGGUUUAGAUGAUACAUGCUCAAUCUCGGUGGGACCUCUGGCAUCGUGGGAGAGGAUGACAUUAGUUCUCUCACAAAGAAAUAAGUAAUUACAAACUCUGAUGAAUGCAAAAAGGAAGGCGGCCCUGAGCUAAGUGCUGUGCCUACGAAGAGGCAAAGGCAUGGUCCUGGCCCUGGAGACAGAUUGCAGGAGGAGAGAGACACACACGGCUUGUUGAUCAUCAGGUACCCGGUGCCAUGGAUCAGAAGCCUGCACUCUCCCUGUUGGCAAUGCGCCGUUUCUAUUUUAAGUGAGGUUGCAAGCACCAGAAACCCACUCUGGUAAAUUAAAUAGAUAUACAUCUACUGAAAGGGCGUUACAGGGAAAAGCUGAAAAACUAGGUCUUGGAAGAGAGAGAAACAACAUGCUUCUUAGGGAGUUGAGAGAGUAAGAAAUACUCCAGAACAAAAGAGCAUGCUUUGUUCCGUUUCCAUUAGAAAAACUGACUCGAGCCAUUCUCUGCCCUUGGGUGUCUCUGCCCAAUAUUCUAAUUCCAGGAAGAAAGAAUUUGACAGCCAAGUCUGGGUCUCAGGCCCGCCCCUCUACUAGGCUCGGGAGGCACCGUGAUUAGAAAUGUCACCAGAAUCAUUUGCCAUGGGGCCUGGGGGCCGGGUGGUUGCUAAUGGAAACGGAAGGGCCAGGAUGCUGGGAAGGUGAGGGCCCUAGUCACCUGCUCUCUCCUCUUAUGAAGUGGUCCAGAUGCCACUUUCCCUACGGCUUCCUGUACUGUGGUCACUGCCUUCCAAGGAGCUCUCUGCUGGCCUUCUGUCCAGAACAUUCUGUUACCAUGGACAGCCUCAUGCUGACGGCUGUCUUAUCCAGCCACCUUGACCAUGACUACCUGGGAGCAUGCACUGUGUGCCUUAGGCCCAGCUGGUGCCAUUCCUGGCACAGAGAUGAAACUCUGUAAACGUCACUGAGGACUUUCUAGAAAGUUCUAAGGAGCACACUGCCCUCCAGCCAAACCGGUCUUCUUUCUGCUCCUCACAUACUCUGCUUGCCUUAUUAUCCCUUCCACCCAUUUCCCUGCUUUGCGGACCUCAUGGCUCAGCAGUUCUAUAAUCAGGGGAGAUUUUGUCCUCUAGGGAUAUUUGGUGAUGUCCAGAGACAGUUCUGGGUGUCACACUGGAGAGGGGGCUGCGACCGGCAGCCUUGGGAGCAGGCUAGAGAGGCUGGUAAACAACCUAGAAAGCAUGCACAGGGCAGACCCCACAGCAAGGACUGAUCAGGCCCCAAGUGUCCCUAGUGCUGGGGCAGAGGCGUCCAGCGGCGUGGCUGAAUGCCACGUCUCUGCUCACAGGUCCUCCAUGCCAGAAGGGCCUCCCUGACCAUCCACCCAUCACUCUCUCUUUAACCCCCUAUUGCAUUUUCCUAAAAUGAUUGUGCCUGUGUAGUCAGUUGCUUGUUUGGGGUUCAUGCCCUCCAAGAGAAGGACAGUCCUAGGAGAGUGGCCCUCCGAGGGCUUUGUUCCCAGCUGGUAGCCCAGCAUGGCAAAUGGUACCUAGCACACGUGGGCAGCUCAAUACAAACAUGUUGAAAGAGAGUUUAAUGAAGGAGCGUAGCCUCAGGGCCCCCAAACGCAGAGGGCAGAAUGCUCGGCUGCGAAGCCCACUUUUGUGGGGCUGGCCACCUUGGGGCGCAUUUGUUUAUUUCUCCAGCCAGUUGGAAUUUAGCCUUUGGCAGAUUCCUGAGGUCUUCUGGACCUCAGUUUCUGCAUCUGUCAAGUGGGGCUAUGGUUAUUGGCCCUUUCCUUGCAGAGGUGUGUUGGGGAUGAACUAAAUCAACCCCCCGAACACUUAAGAAAAUGCCUGCCUCAGAAGAGCCUCAGUAAAUGUCAUCUCUCAUCACCGUCAUCCCCAUGACUUGGCUGGAGUAGGCGGUGAAGAUGAGAGAAUGGGCUCUGGGGCCCUCCCAGAAGAUUAGGGGAUUAAUGCAGCUUGCAAGGCCAAAGCUGUCCCCACUUGGUUUUGCCAGCUUCUGCUCCAUCCACGAAAUAAACCGGAUGAAGCCUUUAUCCAUCUCUUGUUUUGAAAAGGAGGCUGUCAGAGACUGUGGAUUUAAUGUGGCAGAUGGUGCUGUCCUUGCAUUAGGAAACCAAAGGAGGAAAUUAAAGUGCUCGUUGCAACAGAUAUGGGCCAGCGGGGGUAGAGGGCAGGGGGUGGGGCACGAAGGAGGCCAGAGGAGAUGUUUUAUCAGUUGGACAAUGGCUAUUCUUGAGGGUAGCUGGAGUCCUAGAAUAACAUAAUUUUAGAGCUUAAAAUAAUUUUAGGCUAUCUCCUGCAUUUUAUAUAGGCAAAUAAAGCCCAGAGAAGUGACCCCCAAGUUCACACAGCCAGUUGUUGGCAGAGCAAACCACACCUCGUUUUAUUGAACAGGGUUAUUUUUGUUGCCCCAGGCCGAGGCCAGUGGCAGCCUCUGUCUCAGGGCAUCCUGACUUGGGCACCUCUACUCUGGAGAGAACAAGGCACAUGCCCCCCCUGUCUCUUCCCAGAACAGCAGAGGGAGUAUGAGCCAGAGCCCUGGAGCUAUUCUGUCUGGGCCCUCGACCUCAGUUUGCUCAUCUGUAAAAUGGGAAUAAAACAGCCCCUACCUUGCAGGGUCACUGUGAGAAUUUGAUGAGUGAUUAUCAUGUAAAGUAUUUAAUCACGGGCUGGGCACCUAGUAAAUGCUCUAUGAAAUGUUCUUAUUAUGGCCCCAGAAUUGACGUUAGGGUAUAGCUGUGCCUGGGUUGUGAGCCCCUCAGAGGCUGUUUCCAGCUAUGGGACAUCUUUUGUCCCCUAUGCCUUACCAGGCAACCGACGCCUGCCUGGGGCUCAGCAAAUGGUAGUGGCUGACAACUGGCCCCCUGAGGGACACCCAUUUCUGAGUUGGCACCAUGAAGCACCAGGAAAUGCCGCCAGCAAUGCAUGUGACUUUUGUUGCUGGUUUAGACUUUAAUCCUAAAUGGAUAAAGCAACCCUGCCCAGUGGUGAACCAUCUCGUGAUGAGGGCUGUGUUUGUUUUCCCAGCCUUUCUCAGUAGCACAGAAUUUUUCCCCAACUAGCUGUGGGCUAUUUGCAUUUAAAUUGGUUUUCUCUCAUUACAGAAAUCUCUUAGGUCAGCUGGAGUUUCCAUUUUCCUCAGCAUCAGUCUGGAAGCUCCAUUUCUUGCUCAGGGUCCCUCAGGCCUUCCUUCCUCUCCCUGACAGUGAGAUGUGGUCACUUAUGCUCAUUGUGGAGGCCAGAUAGCUUGAGAAAGUCACCCAAAUCCUGGGAGAGCUUGGUGUGCUUCUCCCAGGAGAAGGUGGGGGCCGGGGGGUGGGGGUGGGGGAGCUGGAAGAUUCUGGUCCCUGUGCUCACAGGAAGGAGACAGCUUCAGGAUCUAAGCCUCGUUUUCUCAUUUUUUUUCAUAAAACAUCCAUUGACUAAGCAUGAUGCUGGGUGUAUCACGUAUGGAAUGCAGAGAUCAAUAAGAUGCAUUUACUGCCUUCUGGGAGUUCCUUGUCUAGUAAAGGAGAGAGAAAAGCAGAGGAAUACAAAAAAUCAUUACACAGUCAAAUAAUUGCUUUGAUAAGGAUCAGGAUAGAUUCCAGCCAGAGAAGAGGCUUGCAGACAGUGCACAGGCAUACACAUGUGCAUGUACACACUAGCUAAUGUGUUUAUAGUACUUACCAUGCGGUCAGGCAUCUUUCUAAGCAGAUAAUUUAUUGUUUAUAUAUAUACACACACACUCACAUAUACACAUAUACCUAUAUCAACAUUAUGUAUUUAUAUAUAUAUUUUUAUUGUGCUAUGCUUUAUUGUUCUUCCCAGAUACCGUGUUUUUUAUAAAUUGAAGGUUUGUGCCAACCCUGUGCCAAGCCAAGUCUACUGGUGCCAUUUUUCCAAUAGCAUCAUUGUUUUUAAUGGCCAUACCCGUGGCAUAUGGAAGUUCUCUGGGCCAGGAACUGAAUCUCAGCUUUAGCUGUGAUCUACACUGCAGCUGUAGGUGCUAGGCUGAUAAUUAAACCCACACCUCCACAGCGACCUGAGCCACUGCAGCCAGGUUCUUCAGCCACUGUGCCACAGCAGGAACUCCAGCACCAUUUUUUGAAAUUAAAAUACGUGCAUUGUUGACAGUUCCUGUUGUGGCUCAGUGGCUUAAGAAUCUGACUAGUAUCCAUGAGGAUGAGGGUUUGAUCCCUGGCCUUGCUCAGUGGGUUAAAGGACCACGUUACCGAGAGCUGCUGUGUAGGUAGCGGUCGCAGCUCGGAUCCGCUGUUACCGUGGCUGUGGCGUAGGCUGGCAGCUGCAGCUCCAAUUCGACCACUAGGUUGAGAACGUCCAUAUGCUGUGGGUAUGGACACAAAAAGACAAAAAAGAAAAAAAAGAUAUGUACAUUGUUUUCUUAGAAUAAUGCAAUUACACACUACAGUAUAGUUAAUUCAGUCUUCACGACAGGCCAUAAAGGAAGUGCUCUGUUAUCAUUGUUUUCCAGAUGAGGGAAAUGAAGCACAGAAAGAUGAAAUCAUUGCCCAAGGUCACUGCUAAUACACUGUGCAGCUAGACUUGAACCCUCACGGUCUGGCUCCAGAGCCUGUGCUAUUCAUCCUAUGUUAUGACCACACCUGACAAAGAUGUGCUUUUGUGUUUUCUAGUCUAGUUCAUCUUUCAAGAAGAGCUAGUCAAGAUCCACUACGCUGCCAUUCUAACCCAUCUAUAGGCUGUGAACUGUGGUUUGUGAAGAGUGAAUUGAACUGUGGGAGUGCCCACGUCUGCCUGAGAGAAUCAGGGAGGGCAAAACAGGGAGAAGAUGCUGGUGGUGGAUUUGAACGAUGACGAGGAUUUUUCCAGAUGAGUAAGAGGACGAUCAGAGCUACAUCCUGAAGAACAAGACUGGGCUGAUCCCCAAAGUAUGAGCGAGUGUGGAAGUCUAGGUCUGGAAAGCCCCACAUUGUGCGAUGGUGCUCAGGUGAGAUGUAGGCGGCGCAGGUGGCAAGGCAUGGGACUGGCCACCCAAGCCUUUUGGCCAAGACCAAACCAUAACAGGACCUGAAUGUCAUGUUCAUGGCCUGAGGGCCAGACUAGGAUAGGGGCAUAGCUGGUUAGAAAGAUCACUCUGGCUCUGAUGGAGGAGGCUCUCUCUGGACAGGGAGGCGAGAAGACAGUAUAAUCAAGAGAUGGAACCGAGAAGUCAAAGAGCAAUAAUUGAUUGGGUGUAAUCAAUAGGGUUAGAUGGUUUUGGUUUUGUUUUUGUUUUUCCU
Molecule: long non-coding RNA, 5679 nt
Filed under: Sus scrofa (pig)
Lineage: Eukaryota; Metazoa; Chordata; Mammalia; Artiodactyla; Suidae
Description: lncRNA (ENSSSCG00000049195.1, ENSSSCG00090005591.1)
Source: RNAcentral